Molecule: long non-coding RNA, 218 nt
Filed under: Gossypium barbadense (sea-island cotton)
Lineage: Eukaryota; Viridiplantae; Streptophyta; Magnoliopsida; Malvales; Malvaceae
Description: long non-coding RNA (GBAR_LNC000470)
Source: RNAcentral
UGACAUUGAUGCCUCGUCGUGCAUUGGGUUGCCUCGUCUCCCUGAUUUUUAUGAAUCUGAUUAUUUGACCACCUCUGGGUCUAAUGCCAAUACAACUCAAUAUGGGUUAAAUUUUUUAUAAUGAAAACUCGUAUAUUCCUAUGCCUGUAGGGACCAUAUCUUGGUGUCCUGACUCCGGGGCUACACAUUAUGUCUGUUAGGAGGCUACCGCUUUGAAC